Molecule: ribosomal RNA, 468 nt
Filed under: uncultured bacterium
Lineage: Bacteria
Description: partial 16S ribosomal RNA
Rfam family: Bacterial small subunit ribosomal RNA
Source: RNAcentral
GACGAACGCUGGCGGCGUGCUUAACACAUGCAAGUCGAACGGAAAGGCCCUGCUUUUGUGGGGUGCUCGAGUGGCGAACGGGUGAGUAACACGUGAGUAACCUGCCCUUGACUUUGGGAUAACUGCAGGAAACUGGGGCUAAUACCGGAUAGGAGCUCCUGCUGCAUGGUGGGGGUUGGAAAGUUUCGGCGGUUGGGGAUGGACUCGCGGCUUAUCAGCUUGUGGGUGGGGUAGUGGCUUACCAAGGCUUUGACGGGUAGCCGGCCUGAGAGGGUGACCGGCCACCUUGGGACUGAGAUACGGCGCAGACUCCUACGGGAGGCAGCAGUGGGGAAUAUUGCACAAUGGGCGGAAGCCUGAUGCAGCAACGCCGCGUGCGGGAUGACGGCCUUCGGGUUGUAAACCGCUUUCGCCUGUGACGAAGCGUGAGUGACGGUAAUGGGUAAAGAAGCACCGGCUAACUACGUG